This 406-nucleotide ribosomal RNA is filed under the name uncultured bacterium. Its description in RNAcentral is "partial 16S ribosomal RNA". It matches the Rfam family "Bacterial small subunit ribosomal RNA", at positions 30 to 526 of the family's 1533-position model. The record is from RNAcentral.
AUUGAACGCUGGCGGCAGGCCUAACACAUGCAAGUCGAACGAGUGGCGGACGGGUGAGUAAUGCCUGGGAAACUGCCUGUUGGAGGGGGAUAACUACUGGAAACGGUAGCUAAUACCGCAUACCAUCGGAUGUGCCCAGAUGGGAUUAGCUAGUAGGCGGGGGAAAGGCUCACCUAGGCGACGAUCCCUAGCUGGUCUGAGAGGAUGACCGGCCACACGGGAAUUGAGACACGGUCCAUACUCGUACGGGAGGCAGCAGUGGGGAAUAUUGCACAAUGGGCGCAAGCCUGAUGCAGCCAUGCCGCGUGUAUGAAGAAGGCCUUCGGGUUGUAAAGUACUUUCAGCGGGGAGGCGUUACCCGCAGAAGAAGCACCGGCUAACUCCGUGCCAGCAGCCGCGGUAAUUC